UUACCCACUCCCGGCACGGGGAGGUAGUGACGAAAAAUAACGAUACGGGACUCAUCCGAGGCCCCGUAAUCGGAAUGAGUACACUCUAAACCCUUUNNCGAGGAUCAAUUGGAGGGCAAGUCUGGUGCCAGCAGCCGCGGUAACUCCAGCUCCAAUAGCGUAUAUUAAAGUUGUUGCGGUUAAAAAGCUCGUAGUCGAAUUUGUGUCUCGCGCCGCCGGUGCAGCGUUCGCGUUGUCUACUGGCGAGUCGCGAGACGUCCUGCCGGUGGGCUUAGCUCGCAAGGGCGGCCCAACUCAAUCCUGCCGCGGUGCUCUUCAUUGAGUGUCGAGGUGGGCCGGCACGUUUACUUUGAACAAAUUAGAGUGCUUAAAGCAGGCUAAAACUCCGCCUGAAUAUUGUGUGCAUGGAAUAAUGGAAUAGGACCUCGGUUCUAUUUUGUUGGUUUUCGGAACCCCGAGGUAAUGAUUAAUAGGAACGGAUGGGGGCAUUCGUAUUGCGACGUUAGAGGUGAAAUUCUUGGAUCGUCGCAAGACGGACAGAAGCGAAAGCAUUUGCCAAAAACGCUUUCAUUGAUCAAGAACGAAAGUUAGAGGUUCGAAGGCGAUCAGAUACCGCCCUAGUUCUAACCAUAAACGAUGCCAGCUAGCGAUCCGUCGACGUUCCUCCGAUGACUCGACGGGCAGCUUCCGGGAAACCAAAGCUUUUGGGUUCCGGGGGAAGUAUGGUUGCAAAGCUGAAACUUAAAGGAAUUGACGGAAGGGCACCACCAGGAGUGGAGCCUGCGGCUUAAUUUGACUCAACACGGGAAACCUCACCAGGCCCGGACACCGGAAGGAUUGACAGAUUGAGAGCUCUUUCUUGAUUCGGUGGGUGGUGGUGCAUGGCCGUUCUUAGUUGGUGGAGCGAUUUGUCUGGUUAAUUCCGAUAACGAACGAGACUCUAGCCUGCUAACUAGGCGUAUUUUGACAUCCUAAAGGCCCGCCGGCUCGG
Molecule: ribosomal RNA, 991 nt
Filed under: Curculio glandium
Lineage: Eukaryota; Metazoa; Arthropoda; Insecta; Coleoptera; Curculionidae
Description: SSU rRNA
Rfam family: Eukaryotic small subunit ribosomal RNA
Source: RNAcentral